GACAGAGGGUGCAAACGUUGUUCGGAAUUACUGGCGUAAAGCGCGUGUAGGCGGCUAAGUAAGUCGGGGGUGAAAUCCUGAGGCUCAACCUCAGAACUGCCUUCGAUACUGGCAAUCUCGAGUCCGGAAGAGGUUGGUGGAACAGCUAGUGUAGAGGUGAAAUUCGUAGAUAUUAGCUAGAACACCAGUGGCGAAGGCGGCCAACUGGUCCGGUACUGACGCUGAGGUGCGAAAGCGUGGGAGCAAACAGG
RNAcentral lists this ribosomal RNA (251 nucleotides) under uncultured bacterium. RNAcentral's name for it is "partial 16S ribosomal RNA". It matches the Rfam family "Bacterial small subunit ribosomal RNA", at positions 524 to 776 of the family's 1533-position model. The record is from RNAcentral.